GACGAACGCUGGCGGCGUGCUUAACACAUGCAAGUCGAACGGUAAGGCUCCAGCUUGCUGGGGUACACGAGUGGCGAACGGGUGAGUAACACGUGGGUGACCUGCCCUGCACUUCGGGAUAAGCCUGGGAAACUGGGUCUAAUACCGGAUAGGACCGCACCGUGAGGGUGUGGUGGAAAGUUUUUUCGGUGUGGGAUGGGCCCGCGGCCUAUCAGCUUGUUGGUGGGGUAAUGGCCUACCAAGGCGGCGACGGGUAGCCGGCCUGAGAGGGUGGACGGCCACAUUGGGACUGAGACACGGCCCAGACUCCUACGGGAGGCAGCAGUGGGGAAUAUUGCACAAUGGGCGGAAGCCUGAUGCAGCGACGCCGCGUGGGGGAUGACGGCCUUCGGGUUGUAAACUCCUUUCACCAUCGACGAAGGGUUUCUGACGGUAGAUGGAGAAGAAGCACCGGCUAACUACGUGCCAGCAGCCGCGGUAAUACGUAGGGUGCGAGCGUUGUCCGGAAUUACUGGGCGUAAGGAGCUCGUAGGUGGUUUGUCGCGUCGUCUGUGAAAUUCCGGGGCUUAACUCCGGGCGUGCAGGCGAUACGGGCAUAACUUGAGUACUGUAGGGGAGACUGGAAUUCCUGGUGUAGCGGUGAAAUGCGCAGAUAUCAGGAGGAACACCGGUGGCGAAGGCGGGUCUCUGGGCAGUAACUGACGCUGAGGAGCGAAAGCAUGGGGAGCGAACAGGAUUAGAUACCCUGGUAGUCCAUGCCGUAAACGGUGGGCGCUAGGUGUGGGUUUCCUUCCACGGGAUCCGUGCCGUAGCUAACGCAUUAAGCGCCCCGCCUGGGGAGUACGGCCGCAAGGCUAAAACUCAAAGGAAUUGACGGGGGCCCGCACAAGCGGCAGAGCAUGUGGAUUAAUUCGAUGCAACGCGAAGAACCUUACCUGGGCUUGACAUAUACAGGAUCGCGCCAGAGAUGGUGUUUCCCUUGUGGCUUGUAUACAGGUGGUGCAUGGUUGUCGUCAGCUCGUGUCGUGAGAUGUUGGGUUAAGUCCCGCAACGAGCGCAACCCUUGUCUUAUGUUGCCAGCACGUUGUGGUGGGGACUCGUAAGAAACUGCCGGGGUUAACUCGGAGGAAGGUGGGGAUGACGUCAAAUCAUCAUGCCCCUUAUGUCCAGGGCUUCACACAUGCUACAAUGGUCGGUACAGUGGGUUGCCAGUCCGUGAGGGCGAGCUAAUCCCGCAAAGCCGGUCUCAGUUCGGAUCGGGGUCUGCAACUCGACCCCGUGAAGUCGGAGUCGCUAGUAAUCGCAGAUCAGCAACGCUGCGGUGAAUACGUUCCCGGGCCU
Molecule: ribosomal RNA, 1341 nt
Filed under: uncultured bacterium
Lineage: Bacteria
Description: partial 16S ribosomal RNA
Rfam family: Bacterial small subunit ribosomal RNA
Source: RNAcentral